AUUGUUGUUAGUUGAACACGUUGGAGAGCGUGGCCAAAGAAGGUGACAGCCCUGUAGGCGAAAACAACAUGAACCAAUGAGGAUCCUGAGUACGGCGGAACACGAGAAAUUCCGUCGGAAUCAGCCGGGACCAUCCGGCAAGCCUAAAUACUACCUAGUGACCGAUAGUGAACCAGUACCGUGAGGGAAAGGUGAAAAGAACCCCGGAAGGGGAGUGAAAAGCACUUGAAACCGUAUGCUUACAAGUAGUCAGAGCCCGUUAAUGGGUGAUGGCGUACCUUUUGUAGAAUGGACCGGCGAGUGACGAUUUCAUGCAAGGUUAAUCUGAAGAAGAGGAGCCG
This 341-nucleotide ribosomal RNA is filed under the name Dolosigranulum pigrum. RNAcentral's name for it is "bacterial LSU rRNA". It matches the Rfam family "Bacterial large subunit ribosomal RNA", at positions 322 to 668 of the family's 2925-position model. The record is from RNAcentral. Lineage: Bacteria; Bacillati; Bacillota; Bacilli; Lactobacillales; Carnobacteriaceae.